This 76-nucleotide transfer RNA is filed under the name Vibrio fluvialis. Its description in RNAcentral is "tRNA-Phe(gaa)". It matches the Rfam family "tRNA". Rfam says of the family: Transfer RNA (tRNA) molecules are approximately 80 nucleotides in length. Their secondary structure includes four short double-helical elements and three loops (D, anti-codon, and T loops). Further hydrogen bonds mediate the characteristic L-shaped molecular structure. tRNAs have two regions of fundamental functional importance: the anti-codon, which is responsible for specific mRNA codon recognition, and the 3' end, to which the tRNAs corresponding amino acid is attached (by aminoacyl-tRNA synthetases). tRNAs cope with the degeneracy of the genetic code in two manners: having more than one tRNA (with a specific anti-codon) for a particular amino acid; and 'wobble' base-pairing, i.e. permitting non-standard base-pairing at the 3rd anti-codon position. RNAcentral also lists the same sequence under 1 other name. The record is from RNAcentral. Lineage: Bacteria; Pseudomonadati; Pseudomonadota; Gammaproteobacteria; Vibrionales; Vibrionaceae.
GCUUCGAUAGCUCAGUCGGUAGAGCAGGGGAUUGAAAAUCCCCGUGUCGGUGGUUCGAUUCCGCCUCGAGGCACCA